This is a long non-coding RNA of Equus asinus (donkey), 7192 nucleotides long. NCBI's taxonomy places the organism in Eukaryota, Metazoa, Chordata, Mammalia, Perissodactyla, Equidae. The record is from Ensembl.
CUGCAUAAUACAUAUAAUCAAACAAAUUAAGCAUCUACAUUAAAUUUUAACUGGAAACAUGUAUUUUUAACAGCAUGAAUGAAUUAUAGAAAGAUUUGGAAUAUUCUAUGUUUGACUUUUCACCUAAUAUGUAUAGAUCUUGCUAUCCAGCUUGGAAAAUCAUGUUAUGACGUUAUCUUUUUAUUCUACAUUUCCUUACUUUAGAGAUAUUCCUAAAGUAGGUGACUUCACUGGCAGAAAUGUAGUAAAGGAAUAUCCCCUCAGGAUCACAGUACCAUCCUAUACAAUUUCAUCUUUCCAUUCCUCGUCCCUUACAUGCUAUCAAGGCACUCAAAUAAAUACCACCACAAGAAAGAAAAAUGUUCAAUAUGCACAAGAACAAAGAAGUGCCAUUAUUAAGCACGGUGCCUCAAAGCUCUUUUUGCCAAUACAAGGUGGUAUAAGAAGGACUCUCUCUUAGGAAGCUCAGAGGAAAAGCUCCUCCUCCCGGUUUAAGUAAUUUCUGGAUGUGUGGGGUGAUAAUUCUCUUUCCAUAUUUAUUAUCUGUAGGAAGUAACAUCCACAUACAUCUCCAUGCCCAGAGAGGUCAUUCCAGUCUAUGAAUCUAAGACCCCGAGAGAAACAUCUCAAUAGUCUUCUCAACCCAGGGGCUGGGUCACAGAAGUAUCCUGGCCUGCCUUGACAACACGAGUUCCUUCUUUCCAUUGUCUGUCCAUUCUGGCUUCUAAAAACUUUAAAGGAUUUUUUAAAUCUGCUUCUCAAAACUUAGGGAAAGCAUGGAAGCAUAUAUUUCCUUUGUUCUCCCACAAUUUUUCAGAAUUCACAAAGCGUAAGAGAGAUCAAAGAAUAAAGACAGUUCUUUUAUUUCUGCAACACUUUCACAAAGUAUCAAGAAACAGGGAAAACAUGAUGAUAAUGCUAUCUGCCAGAGAUAGGUAGCUCUAUCUAUUGAUUCAUCUACAAAAAGCAAACAGUAUGCUUGAGCUUGAGGAAUUCACAAGGAUAUUCACACGGCUGUUUUAAAUCUAAGUCUAGCUGUUAGAUAUUCUGUACAUAAAAAACAGGAAAGAAAUCUUAAGAAAAACAAUAAAUCUUAAAGUGAUCCUCCAUCAAUACUAAAAAGAAGAAAAAGGUGCACAUUACAAUAACACAAGCACGCAUCAAACACACAACUUCAUUUUACCAUUACAUUAAGUUUCUGGACCGAGUGCAGCAGUGGUUAAUGAGCUCACCUAGGGAUGGAUCCAAACUAAAAGUGUGUGUGUGUGUGUGUGUGUUGGGAGGUGGGGUGCUGGUUCCUGACACAUUAAGCAAGGUGAUACAGCAGAAAGACUUAGAUUUGAUUCAGAUGAUCUGCAUUUGAAUCCCAAUUCUACCACCAUGUAUGCAAUCCCAAGCAAAGCAUUUAGCCUCUCCAGUCUCAGUUCUCUCAUUUGUAACAUAUGGAAAAUAAUGACAUGAACCCUGGCUAUCUCAUUUAUUGUGUGAGUCAAGAUAAUAGAGGCGAAACAAUGCAGCCUGUUAGGAGUACUGGCCUUGGCAUCACAGUCUUACUUUGAACACUUUCUAUACGACCUAUGGCAAAUUCCUUGGAAUCCUGGGUUUCCUUUUCUCUAAACCAGGGCUAUCUCUUCUGCCUCUGGGCACCGUGAUGGGGAUCAAAUGAGAGAACACCUGAUAUGAUAUCUGGAAAGCUGUACACCAUGACACAAAUGCUAAUGUUAUUGACUGACAGAGGGUCAUGCAAAUGUAAGUUAUUAUCUGCCUACUGAUGUAUAUCAGGCGACUUUGAGUGUUAAACCAAAAUUCGUCAAUGGUGGAAAAAACCCACACUCUUUUAGAGGCUUUCUUUCCCUUUAUCCUUUCCUCAGCACAUGUUUAGUGAACAGCUCUCCACAUCAAAAACCUCACAGCCUGGGUUCUAAGCAGAACCGGCAUACGGGGAAAAUAAAUAGAAUGAAGAAAAGAGCUUGACACCACUGAGAGCUGCUCUGUCUUUGCAACGAUUCUACCUGCAAGGAAGGGAACCCUGUGAGGUGAGCAAAAGGGGAAAGGAAAAAAUUCCCUUCCUCCAAUUCAAGUUGUUUCCCAGGGAGAGACUCCAUCCCAUCUAUGAUGGACUCUGCCAUGACAGUGACUCCCAGGAUUUAUAUCGCAGGGCACACUGGCCUGAUUACUCAGCCACCAACUCCAUCAGCAGCCUGAGGAAGGAGGUGGCUACUUAACAGUAGAAGAAAAAUAAGGAGCAGAACCUGGGACCUGGUUAUCCUUAGGGCACAUGAUUAGUUUUAGUUUUUGUUUUUGUUUUUUUAAGUUGGAAGUAUCCAGCUCAUGGGUAGAGUUGAUAGCUGACCAAAAAACAGCAACUAAAAGGAAUGAACUAAAAGUCAUCAGUCCUAAAAUAAAAGUUCACUGAGGUCAGAAUUUUUUUCGUUUAUUAAUGUAUUACAAGCACUGAGAACAGUGUCUGGCAUCUAGUAGAUGCUCGAUAAAUAUUUAUUCAAUGGAUGGAUGGACAGAUAGAUGGACAGACAGAUGGGGAGAUGAAUGGAUGAAUAGGUCCUUCCUGUGGGUCCAGGAAGAGCUGUACCAAAACCACUCUUCUUUCCACACACCUCCAAAGAAAGUGAGUGAUUCCAAAAUGCAAUUUACAUGCCAUUUUCUGACCAAUUCAAACAGCCAGAAGGGCCUGUCUGAAUUAGGGAUGGCUGUCUACGACAGUACGUUAAAGAAUAGUAGGACGAUUCCUUCUACUUUCAUCGGGGCUACAAUAUCCUUGGUAGAUCACAUCUGUUUUCAUAAAUCUAAGAAAGGUUUGUAUUAUAAUUAUAUUACCGUUGUGUGUAAGUGACAUACCAAUACAUUUUUAUUGAAUACUUACAUUACACACUACGAAAAACUUAAAGGUGCUAUCUUGUUUGCUUGAAUACUUAAAACAUUCCUCCUGAAGUCGUCUUUAUGCUAUUAACUUAUUUAAUGUUUCUUUACUUCUGAGUAAAUAUUUUUACUGGUAAAGACAAAGAUAAACCUGAGUUCCCCAGGACAAAAGAUCAAAACUUUGAGAAUAGCAGAGUUUAGAUGAAUGCAUCUUUUUUGUAAAUUAGUUUUCAUUUACUUUCUAAGUACGGAUCUGGAACAAAAGUCAACAGACUGUUGAAGCCGAGUUUCUCUCCUCCCAGGCAUCUAGGCCUGACAAUCAGCUGUAAUGUAUCUUUGAACAGCUCUGUCUCUACCAGGCAGAUAUAGUUAACUCCACAAUUAAUAUUUUAAACCAUCAAAAGUCAAAUGAUUUAUUUUAAAUGCCUUUUUAACUUUUCAACUUCUUUCUCAUUUAUUUCAUUUCUAGUUUUCAUUCCCUAUGGUUAAAAUAUAUAUGUAUACGUAUAUACGUAUGUAUGUAGGUAUACACACACACAUUUCCUUUUCUAUUAUGUGAACACAAAGGAAAAGAACACAUUCAGUUUUCUUUCCCCUAGUUCUCAGGUUAUAAUUCAUAUUGCAAAGAAAAGGUUUAAAUUUUUAAAAAUGCCAGACUCAUGCAUAGUAGGUGCUCUAGAAAUGUCUGUAGAAUUGUAAAUUAAGAAUAAAGAAAGUAUAAAUAAAACACAGAAACUCAAGGAACUGAGAGUGUUUGGCCUAGGAAAGAGAAGAUGAAGGAGGAAAAAAAUAAUGAUUUUCAAAUAUCUGAGCUGCCUUUGUGCAGAAGAGCGAUGGAUUUGUUUUACACUGUGUCCCCGGGGAGACCUCAGACAGAUGAGGGGAAAGUUUCACUGAGGCACAGUCAGUUCAUCAAGAGAAAAAACAGCCUGUUUGAUGUAUAUAAUAGCCUAACGGCUUUUUGUUAAAUAAUAAUUAUCUCGAAGGCUCCUUUAAGAUAGAAAAAUUCUGUGAUAGUACCACUGAUUUCUAGAAGUUAUUUAGACAAUAUCCAGAUGACAUGAGCCAGCCCUGUGGUAGCUGUAAGUCCUGGUAGGUCCACUGGGUAGGAGUUUAAAAUUGGAUCCCUUUCGAAUCUGUAAUUCUAAAAUUGUUAAUGUCCUCUUUCAGAUGCCUCAAAAACAAGCUUAGGGGUUUUGCUUAAAAAAAACACAAAAGGCAAAUGAAUAUCAUAAAUGUUUGCUUUAUGAUCUUCUAGAAAAUAAUUUUUUAGUAACUAAUUUCUAACUCCUUAUGGAAUAUCUGCUGGACGCAUCUGCUGGACCCAUCUGCCUGGAAACAAGCUUUCUUUAAACCAUCUAGGUCCACCUUACUAUCAAUACAUAGGUAGGAGCCGGAUUUCCACAUGGGAUGGAGUAAUGAGUCUGCCCUACUCUGCAGUCUUGUUCCCACCAGGAAGGAAGAAACCACCCAUUAAUUUCACAUGGUCACUGGUAUUUCCGAUGACAACCCCUUAGUCCAACUAAGAUCACAUCAGUAUGUUUAAAAAAAGAGCAGGAGUUUGGAGUCACACAUAAUUUGUGAACUCCAUCCCAUUACUUCCUGUCUCUGAACGUCACACUUGCCAUCUUUAAGAUGGGGCGAGAUCCGUGGUGUUAGUCCUGGAACCUACUUCACUUCACUUUGUAGGCGGUUACAAAGACCAAAUGAGAACAGAAACAUUUAUGGAAACCUAUCGGGCUAUUCACAGGCGGGGGACUGUCCUCUGGGUAAAUUUAGAAAACAACAAAACAUAAAAUAAUAGCAAAUUUUGCCUUUUAAUUAUUUAGAUAAUAAUUAAAUGAAUACAACCUGUUUUGACUUGUUUAAAAAAAUCAACAUUAGGUCUCAGAUCUCAUAAUUUUGGAUUUUUCACUGUGGUUGACAGUCUGAUGAUCUCAGUGUGGGAUCUUAUAAAUGAAAAGGCCCAAAAGGGCUGUCUGCUUGUAGUAAAUGCCCAGAUGACCACGCACACCGUGUCCCAUCACCUAUUUCAAAAGAGCCCUUCAACUCUCUCAUAUCUUUAGUGUCUCUCACUGAGGUCCCUAAGUCCUGACAGCCCCACAGUGGCCAUCCAUCUCUGCAGUGUCCGUAGCAGCAGGCUGUCUCCUUGCCUGCCUCAUUAACUAUUUGAGCCCUUUCAAAGUGCCAACAGAGUUUGGUAAGGGUUUCUUCGUCCUCCAUCCCCUCACCGUCAUCUUCUGCCUGGUUAUAAUUCAUCCACUGAACAAAAAGCCCAGCCCAGGAAACAAAUUAUUUGAUGCGGUUAAUUAACAGUGUGGAAACCCAUGCAACCUUUAGGGGGAAGAUGGCUAGUGGGAGGAAAACCUAUAGAUGGUUUUUAUAUUCAUUGGCAAGCCCAUUUCUCAAAACAUUGGUCUCAAUACAACAAGAUAGAUGUAGAAUUUGGCUUUGUUUUUUCUCUCCAUGUCUAUGUGAGGAGUUUCCUCACCAUUUACAUGAUUUCUGUGCAAUCUCAGAUAAAUCUAAAUUAAAAUGACCUUAGAGCUCCUCUCACCUCCAGACAGGUGUCCCCUGGAAGUUGGAAUACAACAAGCCCUGAUUAACACAUGAUGUCAGUGGAAAAAACAGUUGUUCAUAAAACUACCCUGCAGACUGGCAGCAAGGGAAGGGCUUGUGGAGACGGUACCCUUAAUUUUGGUCUCCUUAGUGCUGAGUUGGUAGUCGGAAGGGUUCACGAAGUCCUAAGAGAUAAACAGUCUCCCAUUGGUGAGUUUAGAGGUAACUGAGAAAAAGGUUUCCCCUCCACGUGUCACCCAUACAGAUUACCAGAGAGGAGAACUAAUGUCUUGGAUAGGAAUAAACAAGAACUCAUCCUCUAGAGAAGAUGCAGAAACCUGUCUCUCUUCCUAUGAGCCUCUUUGCCCAACUCCCAACAAGUGACAGACAGCCAGGUUGCUUAAAACCCCUUUCAUCUAAAAAAACCAUCAGAGUUGAGAAGAAUCCUACCUUCAACAUUCCCCAUCUCUCUCUCUCCUUUCUCUCUCUCUCUUUUUCUCUCCCUCUUCCUCUCUUUCCCUCUCUCUCUCUCCCUCACACCACACACACACACACACACACACACACACACACACACACACACACACAGUAUAAGGAGAACCUGGAACACAUCCCCAAGCCUCCCAUCUUUUCAGUCUUUGGUUAGAAACUUUCUGAUAACAAAAUCUAUCACAGGAAUGCAUCUUCUUCUUUAAGAAGGUGUUAUUUCCCUGGGAUAAUUAUUAGUGAACACAUUGGCUAAUUAAAACCAACAGAUUACAAAACAUAGCUUAAAGUAUCACAGGGAUGGGAUCUGCUUCCGCUAUAUGGGCUGUGGCAGACGUGUAACUGGUUCCUGAGAUUUUUCACUCGAGGCCUUGGCCACCAGCUCAUGUUCUCAACCAGCUGCGUGCAGAAGGCCAACAGCUUUGCUCAUCAAAAAUGCAAUUUCCCACACACGGAGGGCAAUAGAACAAAACUAUUUUCUUUCAUUGCCAAAUGAAUUGUGUUUGGUAAUCUGAAAGCAUCAUAAAUUGUAAAGAUACAGACCCAAGAAGGAUCAUGCAUUUUAUGCUGGCUGUAAUGCAGAGAGAGCACUGUGUAGAUACAAACGAAGUGGCUGUUUCUGGUCCAUGGAGAAAGGAUGCAGAUCUUGGGAGCUGAGUUCAUAAUCUGACAUUCAGGUUUGCCUCUGUGAUUCCUCUAUAUGUUCCACCAAAGCAUUUCCUUGUCUUAUAUAAACAGAAACAUGCAUGUCAGUACACAAUUUCAUUAGUUAUCCCCUUUCACUUACACCUCCUUUGUAGGAAACCCACAAUGGUUUCCCACCACCAACCACAUCAAGCCUACAAUCCUGCCUUGAAUGUGAGGCACCAUGUUGAAUUGGAAAGAGCAUGGCUUUAGACAGAUGUGGGUGCAUACCACCACGUACACUUUCUAUAAAUGGAGACAAUGUUACUAAAUGGACAGGGUUGUUGGAGAAUUAAGUGACAAAAUACAUAUGUGAACUAUCUACUUUAAAUUCCUUUUGCCUCCUCUCCAUAAUCUGACCCUACUCCUCCUGUCUGUCUUAGUCCAUUCAGGCUGUUACAACAAAAAUACCAUAGACUGGUAGCCAUCAGUCUAUAAACAGCAGAAAUUUAUUUCUUACAGUUAUGGAGGCUGGGAAGUCCAAAAUCAGGGUGCCAGCAGAUGUCACUGGUGAGAGCCCGCUUCCUGAUUCACAGAUGGCCGUCUUCUUGCUGUGUCCUCACAUGGACAGGGCGAGGGAGUUUUC